RNAcentral lists this ribosomal RNA (253 nucleotides) under uncultured bacterium. RNAcentral's name for it is "partial 16S ribosomal RNA". It matches the Rfam family "Bacterial small subunit ribosomal RNA", at positions 524 to 776 of the family's 1533-position model. The record is from RNAcentral.
UACAGAGGUCCUAAGCGUUGUUCGGAUUCACUGGGCGUAAAGGGUGCGUAGGCGGUCAGGUAAGUCUGAUGUGAAAUCUCUGGGCUUAACCCAGAAAUGGCAUUGGAUACUAUUUGGCUUGAGAGUUGGAGGGGGGACUGGAAUUCUUGGUGUAGCAGUGAAAUGCGUAGAUAUCAAGAGGAACACCAGUGGCGAAGGCGAGUCCCUGGACAACUUCUGACGCUGAGGCACGAAAGCUAGGGGAGCAAAAGGG